GGACGAAACGCGGGCGGCGUGCCUAAUACAUGCAAGUAGAACGCUGAAGGAGGAGCUUGCUUCUCUGGAUGAGUUGCGAACGGGUGAGUAACGCGUAGGUAACCUGCCUGGUAGCGGGGGGAUAACUAUUGGAAACGAUAGCUAAUACCGCAUAAGAGUAGAUGUUGCAUGACAUUUGCUUAAAAGGUGCAAAUGCAUCACUACCAGAUGGACCUGCGUUGUAUUAGCUAGUUGGUGGGGUAACGGCUCACCAAGGCGACGAUACAUAGCCGACCUGAGAGGGUGAUCGGCCACACUGGGACUGAGACACGGCCCAGACUCCUACGGGAGGCAGCAGUAGGGAAUCUUCGGCAAUGGACGGAAGUCUGACCGAGCAACGCCGCGUGAGUGAAGAAGGUUUUCGGAUCGUAAAGCUCUGUUGUAAGAGAAGAACGAGUGUGAGAGUGGAAAGUUCACACUGUGACGGUAUCUUACCAGAAAGGGACGGCUAACUACGUGCCAGCAGCCGCGGUAAUACGUAGGUCCCGAGCGUUGUCCGGAUUUAUUGGGCGUAAAGCGAGCGCAGGCGGUUAGAUAAGUCUGAAGUUAAAGGCUGUGGAUUAACCAUAGUAGGCUUUGGAAACUGUUUAACUUGAGUGCAAGAGGGGAGAGUGGAAUUCCAUGUGUAGCGGUGAAAUGCGUAGAUAUAUGGAGGAACACCGGUGGCGAAAGCGGCUCUCUGGCUUGUAACUGACGCUGAGGCUCGAAAGCGUGGGGAGCAAACAGG
This 766-nucleotide ribosomal RNA is filed under the name uncultured Streptococcus sp. Its description in RNAcentral is "bacterial SSU rRNA". It matches the Rfam family "Bacterial small subunit ribosomal RNA", at positions 26 to 776 of the family's 1533-position model. Lineage: Bacteria; Bacillati; Bacillota; Bacilli; Lactobacillales; Streptococcaceae. The record is from RNAcentral.